Molecule: ribosomal RNA, 409 nt
Filed under: uncultured bacterium
Lineage: Bacteria
Description: bacterial SSU rRNA
Rfam family: Bacterial small subunit ribosomal RNA
Source: RNAcentral
CAGCAGCCGCGGUAAUACGUAGGUGGCAAGCGUUGUCCGGAUUUACUGGGCGUAAAGAGCGUGUAGGCGGCCAAACAGGUCCGUUGUGAAAACUGGAGGCUCAACUUCCAGACGUCGACGGAAACCGUGUGGCUAGAGUCCGGAAGAGGAGAGUGGAAUUCCUGGUGUAGCGGUGAAAUGCGCAGAUAUCAGGAAGAACGCCAAUGGCGAAGGCAGCUCUCUGGGACGGUACUGACGCUGAGACGCGAAAGCGUGGGGAGCGAACAGGAUUAGAUACCCUGGUAGUCCACGCUGUAAACGACGGGUGCUAGGUGUGGGCGGUGUCGACUCCGUCCGUGCCGCAGCUAACGCAUUAAGCACCCCGCCUGGGGAGUACGGCCGCAAGGCUAAAACUCAAAGGAAUUGACGG